Molecule: unclassified non-coding RNA, 361 nt
Filed under: fungal sp.
Lineage: Eukaryota; Fungi
Description: partial internal transcribed spacer region
Source: RNAcentral
AAGUCGUAACAAGUAGGUGAACCUGCGGAAGGAUCAUUAACACGUAUCCAAACGUUAAACUCCCCUGUGAACCUUCAGUGUACUCGCACGUCCGUUAGAAAAAGCAGCAAUCCCUGGUAAAUCAUCGCCGAACAGUUUUCGAUUCAGGGACGUCUGCAAGGAGCGUGCAUGUUGUGCGAAGCAAGUGGCCUGGCAUCCCAAGCAGUUAGUGUCUAAAAGUGUCAUUAACUGUGUAAGGAUGACGCAGUCACGAUCGUUGGACACUGGGCGCAAGCCCCCUAUAACACAUGCUGCUAAUCCCGCGAUAAUACGCAGUCGACCAAAAACCGAACAACUGUUAACAAUGGAUAUCUUUGUUCUC